GUGGGGUGUCUCCACCCUGUUCUUUACCUUGGUCUGGGUGGGGUGUCUCCACCCCAUUCUUUUUGCCUUUUAUUUAUUUCUUUUUUUUAAUGUUUUGUGCAAAAAAUAUUUUUUAUUGUAAAAUGAAUGUAAUGUUUCUAUCUAAUAUUAAUCUUGAAUAAGACUUGUUGCCAUGAAUUGAAAUACUCUUAUGUUUUGAACAGUAGAAAAUCUUUCAUUCACGCUAAAAAUAAAAAAUAUUAAGUUUCAUGUAUUUUCGGUUGGCUGUGUUUUUGAGGUUAGCAUCAGUAACUCAACCAGGCAGAAGUUUAAACCAACCCUUCAAGGUCUGUUUUUGAGGGUAGUAUCGGUAACUAAACCAGGUUAUGGUAGGGAGAGGUUUAAACCAACCCUUCAAGGUCUGUUUUUGAGGGUAGUAUUGGUAACUAAACCAGGCAGAAGUUUAAACCCUUCAAGGUCUGAGAAUAUUGCCGUCUGUCAUGCCGGAGAACAAACCAUUUCUGCUAAUGUUGAAGAUGACUGCCAUUUAUUAAAAAACAAUAUCAAUCUUGUUAUUUUGCAUCUUUGCCAUGUAACCUAUGAAAUAAAUACACUGUAUCCUA
Long non-coding RNA from Oncorhynchus gorbuscha (pink salmon), 602 nucleotides. RefSeq lists it as uncharacterized. The transcript has 2 exons. NCBI's taxonomy places the organism in Eukaryota, Metazoa, Chordata, Actinopteri, Salmoniformes, Salmonidae. The record is from RefSeq and is a predicted model, not a curated record.